This 541-nucleotide small RNA is filed under the name Pan troglodytes (chimpanzee). RNAcentral describes it as "retained intron". The record is from RNAcentral. Lineage: Eukaryota; Metazoa; Chordata; Mammalia; Primates; Hominidae.
GCGCCGGGGCCCGAGGCCGCUGAGUGCCUGGUGUGCUCCGAGCUGGCGCUGCUGGUGCUGUUCUCGCCAUGCCAGCACCGCACCGUGUGUGAGGGUGAGUGGGGGGCCCCGGGGUGGGGGGCCCGGGUAGUAGGGCCCCAGCCAACCGCGCUCUCCUCUUCGCAGAGUGCGCGCGCAGAAUGAAGAAGUGCAUCAGGUGCCAGGUGGUCGUCAGCAAGAAAUUGCGCCCAGACGGCUCUGAGGUGGCGAGCGCCGCCCCCGCCCCCGGCCCGCCGCGCCAGCUGGUGGAGGAGCUGCAGAGCCGCUACCGGCAGAUGGAGGAACGCAUCACCUGCCCCAUCUGCAUCGACAGCCACAUCCGCCUCGUGUUCCAGUGCGGCCACGGCGCAUGCGCCCCCUGCGGCUCCGCGCUCAGCGCCUGCCCCAUCUGCCGCCAGCCCAUCCGCGACCGCAUCCAGAUCUUCGUGUGAGCCGCGCCGUCCGCCGCGCCCGAGCUGCCUUCGCGUGCCCCCGCCCUGUGUUUUAUAAAAAGAUUCUCGGA